Molecule: ribosomal RNA, 1537 nt
Filed under: Aporocotylidae sp. ex_eggs_G_micrura_37
Lineage: Eukaryota; Metazoa; Platyhelminthes; Trematoda; Strigeidida; Aporocotylidae
Description: partial large subunit ribosomal RNA
Rfam family: Eukaryotic large subunit ribosomal RNA
Source: RNAcentral
GGCGAGUGAAGAGGGAAGAGCCCAGCACCGAAGCUUGCAGUCAUUUGAUUGCUGAGCAAUGUGGUGUUUAGGUUUGUUCUUUGCGUGCUGCUUUAUCCUAAGUCCAAUUAUGAGUAUGGCAAUUGGAUUGGCCCAUAGAGGGUGUAAGGCCCGUUGGGAUAAAGACCAGGCUAGUCGGCAUUAGCUCAGAGCAAACCUUGGAGUCGGGUUGUUUGUGAAUGCAGCCCAAAGUGGGUGGUAGACUCCAUCUAAGGCUAAAUACUAGCACGAGUCCGAUAGCAAACAAGUACCGUGAGGGAAAGUUGAAAAGUACUUUGAAGAGAGGGUAAACAGUGCGUGAAACUGCUCAAAGGUAAACGGGUGGAGUUGAACUGGAAGCUUUUGGAAUUCAGCUAGCUGGUUGUGCUGGCGCUUGGAAUCCGUUCAGUUACGGGCAUUUGUCUGCUUCAUUUAUGAUGUAGGCAGGUGUGUGCGGUGUAUUCGUUGAAUACUGCACGUCUAAGUUGCUUUGGUUGGCUGGCUAGUGCACUUUCCUUAGGUGUCCACCACGACCGGCACUGCUGCCUGUUCGUUUUGAUUAAACCAGUUGAGUGCAGCAAUCUUGUUGUUGUACUUCAUUGGGAUAGCAGGUGGCUUGUUAGUUGUGGGCUGUCUUUGGACAGCUCCGGCUAGCAGGUUUAAUCAGCUAGUUGAGGCGAAUCUGUGCAGUGUGUUGGAGACGACAGGGUCUGGUCGGCAGGGUGCGGUUAGUCGGAUGAUAUGGAUUGGCUGGAGUUGUUUGUGUUUCGCAAAUGCUUUGGCAUUCUGUGUUGUCCAGUUAGUUGUGCCAUUUUGCUGGUUAGAAUCAAGAGUCUGUGGUGCUGCGGUAGAUUAUCCACCUGACCCGUCUUGAAACACGGACCAAGGAGUUUAACAUGUAUGCGAGUCAAUGGGCAUUACGAAACCCACAGGCGCAGUGAAAGUAAAGGCUAUCAUUAGCUUAGGUGAGAUCCCGUUGCCGUUAGUCAGUUUAUCUGGCUUUGGUGCAGGCGCAUCACCGGCCCGUCCUAUUGUGUAUUUCACAGGGGCGGAGCUUGAGCAUACAUGUUGAGACCCGAAAGAUGGUGAGCUAUGCUUGCGUAGGUUGAAGCCAGAGGAAACUCUGGUGGAGGACCGUAGCGAUUCUGACGUGCAAAUCGAUCGUUUGACGUGAGUAUAGGGGCGAAAGACUAAUCGAACCAUCUAGUAGCUGGUUCCCUCUGAAGUUUCCCUCAGGAUAGCUGGCACUCUGACUCUAAUUUUUUCCGGUAAAGCGAAUGAUUAGAGGUAUUGGGGAUAAAAAAUCCUCAACCUAUUCUCAAACUUUAAAUGGGUCAGAGACUUUGCUCGCUUAAGUGGAGCAAAGCAUUGAAUAGGAGUGCCAAGUGGGCCGUUUUUGGUAAGCAGAACCGGCGAUGAGGGAUGAACCUAACGUUUGGUUAAGGUGCCUAAUGUAACGCUAAUGAGACACCACGAAAGGUGUUGGUUGGUCCAGACAGCAGGACGGUGGCCAUGGAAG